Long non-coding RNA from Cyanistes caeruleus (blue tit), 366 nucleotides. RefSeq lists it as uncharacterized. Lineage: Eukaryota; Metazoa; Chordata; Aves; Passeriformes; Paridae. The record is from RefSeq and is a predicted model, not a curated record.
AGCAGAGCAACAGCCUUUCAGCACUCAACCAUGUCACUGCCUGCCUUGCUUUUGAUGGAACUGGGCUGACCUCCGUGUCCAGCCGCGAAGGCAUUUUCUGUUUUACGAGUCGCGGUGAGCAGAGAGCCAGCAGCCUUGCUCAAGGUGGUUGCUGUUCACAGCUGAGUCUCCUGAGAGGAUUAGCAAUACAACUAAUGAAGACUAAUAAUGCAGGCCUUUGUCAGCAAACUGAAAGCCACCAGCUGGAAGAUAUCCCACACCACAUCUUGAAGCAGCCAUCACAGUGUCUGCAAGCUUGACAUGUCCUUCCCUCCUCUGAGCACCUUGUGACAGCACAGCAAAUAAACCAGCUCCUGUGUGUGUUUA